Molecule: ribosomal RNA, 582 nt
Filed under: uncultured bacterium
Lineage: Bacteria
Description: partial 16S ribosomal RNA
Rfam family: Bacterial small subunit ribosomal RNA
Source: RNAcentral
UGGGGAAUUUUGGACAAUGGGCGAAAGCCUGAUCCAGCAAUGCCGCGUGUGUGAAGAAGGCCUUCGGGUUGUAAAGCACUUUUGUCCGGAAAGAAAUCCUUGGCUCUAAUACAGUCGGGGGAUGACGGUACCGGAAGAAUAAGCACCGGCUAACUACGUGCCAGCAGCCGCGGUAAUACGUAGGGUGCAAGCGUUAAUCGGAAUUACUGGGCGUAAAGCGUGCGCAGGCGGUUUGCUAAGACCGAUGUGAAAUCCCCGGGCUCAAACCUGGGAACUGCAUUGGUGACUGGCAGGCUAGAGUAUGGCAGAGGGGGGUAGAAUUCCACGUGUAGCAGUGAAAUGCGUAGAGAUGUGGAGGAAUACCGAUGGCGAAGGCAGCCCCCUGGGCCAAGUACUGACGCUCAUGCACGAAAAGCGUGGGGAGCAAACAGGAUUAGAUACCCUGGUAGUCCACGCCCUAAAACGAUGUCAACUAGUUGUUGGGGAUUCAUUUCCUUAGUAACGUAGCUAACGCGUGAAGUUGACCGCCUGGGGAGUACGGUCGCAAGAUUAAAACUCAAAUGAAUUGACGGGGUCAUAGCU